UACGGAGGGUGCGAGCGUUGUCCGGAAUCACUGGGCGUAAAGGGCGCGUAGGCGGCUCAUGAAGGCUGUGGUGAAAGUCCGGGGCUCAACCUCGGAUCGGCCGUGGCGACUCGUGGGCUGGAGCACUGUAGAGGCGGGUGGAAUUCCGGGUGUAGCGGUGGAAUGCGUAGAGAUCCGGAAGAACACCGGUGGCGAAGGCGGGUCUCUGGGCCGAUACUGACGCUGAGGAGCGAAAGCGUGGGGAGCGAACAGG
Molecule: ribosomal RNA, 253 nt
Filed under: uncultured bacterium
Lineage: Bacteria
Description: partial 16S ribosomal RNA
Rfam family: Bacterial small subunit ribosomal RNA
Source: RNAcentral